This is a non-coding RNA of Xyrichtys novacula (pearly razorfish), 1177 nucleotides long. The record is from the annotation of a GenBank genome assembly. NCBI's taxonomy places the organism in Eukaryota, Metazoa, Chordata, Actinopteri, Labriformes, Labridae.
UUGUUGUUAUUAAGUUUUCAAAAUUGCAGUUGAGUAUUUAACACGGAGCUGAUAAGUGAGGAAGCCACAUAGUGAAAUGAAGGUAUUAUGGCGGACAUUUUAGUUAACCUCAUUAUAAAGUCAAGCUUCAAUUAAACAAAUAAAUGAGGCUUACUGUUGUUACACUCUUAAUGGGGCGCUCACACCAAGCGUGAGUAAAAUCAUCUACUCACUUAAUUUGUGCAAAUCUAGACACGUAAAUGAACAGCAUUUGCUCGUUUCAUUCACGCAUUAACGGUAAUUUCGACGGUAAUCCCUGCCAAUUCAACCAGUGGAAUCGAGCGAUAGACAAAGGUUUUUUACAAUUUACCAGGUAAUCCGACCUCCUCACUUACUUGCCUCCAGACGAGCUCCUUUUUAUUCCGGUUUCAGUAAUUGAAAGAAAAGGUAUCAUAUAAUUCGGGGUACCCACACACCGACAUGAUCAGUUUGUCCUCCAUUUUAGAUACCAGUGUUCAAACUUCACCCGGCAAACUUUGCGCUGAUUAGUUAUUGCGAUGUGAAUAUCCGCUCAAGUUGAGACGUUUGUAGCUCCCGCCCAAAUCACGUCAUUAGCGACGCCUAGGUAAUAGUAGCAGCUAAUCAAGUCUUUGCAUUGACUUAACAUGUAAUUCGUUCAUGCGAAUGAUUUUACUCACGCUUGGUGUGUGGAGACAGUUACCAUGUUUUCUCUCUCUCUUUCUAUAUAUAUAUAUUUUUUUUUUCAAAUUUCACCUGCUUUGAAAAGAAGUGAAAUAAUAAAUCUGUACAGCAAAAUCAACCUCUGGCAAUUCUUGCCCUCAGGCUUAAACUUCAAAAACCUAUUCUGGGAGAAAAUAACAUUUCCUGACCUGCAGAGACAUAACAACCCGCAGAUUCACACCAGACCGAGGCGUUAAAACUCCUGCUGCCGAAACACUGCUAUCGCCUCCAACACAUGAUGAGAUUCAUUAUUGGAAAAAUCUGUAAUCACAAAAAAAGGUGAUAAAAUAUUGUGUCAGAGAUAUUUUUUAUCGAUUCAUUUAAAUUGAGGCUAAAUCUGACACUGAAACCACACCACCAGAAUAUAUUUCUCAUUAGCAACUGCAGGCUGUGAAGCAGCGCAGGUCAAACUCUAGUGUCUUUUCAUCUGUCUGAGACAAAGGUGAAGACUCCCACC